This 68-nucleotide transfer RNA is filed under the name Pseudocuneopsis sichuanensis. RNAcentral describes it as "tRNA-Arg". Lineage: Eukaryota; Metazoa; Mollusca; Bivalvia; Unionida; Unionidae. The record is from RNAcentral.
AAAGAAGAAAGCUGCCCCAGCAAUAUGGUUUCGACCCAUAAAGUGAAUUAUAUAAAUUCUCUUCUUUG